This is a long non-coding RNA of Girardinichthys multiradiatus, 1628 nucleotides long. RefSeq lists it as uncharacterized. NCBI's taxonomy places the organism in Eukaryota, Metazoa, Chordata, Actinopteri, Cyprinodontiformes, Goodeidae. The transcript has 2 exons. The record is from RefSeq and is a predicted model, not a curated record.
AUGAACAUUAAUGCAUGCCACAAUUUUCAGGUUUUCAUUUGUAAAAAAUGAUAAAAAUCUUAAUUUUCCUUUCUCUGUUCCAUAAAAUCCCAACAAAACACACUGCAGUUUGGCACUGUACCGUACUGUUUACAUGCUAAAUGGUUUAGAUGCCAAACGUGUUUCCAUGUCUUUAAACCAGCAGAGGAAGAAGCAGCAUCAGCACUGAAGAAUGCAGCAGAACCAGUUUGAUCUUCCAGUCAAUUAUUUUUGUGCUCAGUGCAAGGAAAUAAAGUCAAAGUGUCUCGUGGUCGAUGUUUCCAUCAGACACAGAGAAGGUGGUUCACUGAAUACUUCUUAAUUAAGUAAGUGUAGGAACAGACUCAGGCUGGGGUUAAAGCGGACUUCAGAAGGAACUUCGGUGGAAAAUUAGCUGAUUUAACAGACAGGAGAUUCGAGAUGGACGGCUCCUCCCUGAGAAAAGUCUUUUUCUGGAAAAAGAAAAAGACGUCUUCUUUGAACAACGCCUUCAACCAACUCAAGAGGGCGCUGCCAAAGAAUAGGCAAAUCAAAAAGAAAAGCAUUCUGAAAAAACUGCACCUGGACAACUUGAAGAACAAGGACAAGAAUUCCCAGAAAAACAUCUCCCUGAUACGAGACAAGAAGGCACCCAAAUCGCUGAAGAUACUCUCACUUGGCAAAGAGAUGAAGCAGUCUGAUCCAAACACUUCAGAAGGAAGGAAUGACAACAAAGAGGGGCUUGGUCGAGUGGGCAACAAGAUAAAAAAAAGAUUUUCUCAGGAAAACAAAAAGGAACUCAGUGCAGAGCCAGAGAUUGCUCCUCUGAAAAAAACAAAUGAGGGUAAAACAUCCUUACAGAAACUGAAGGAUAUCAUGAAACCCAGUCGUUCAUCAGAAACCAAAGCAACCUGAAGACUUGAAUUAGAGACAAUAAAAUGGGACUCAAAGGGACACCUUAUUUCAAGUUUUUAAUGACAUUGUAAUUUUCAUCACUAAUGAAGGAGAGGCAAAGAUGGUGGUUAAAGCUAUAAUGUUUGUGAAUCAUUACCAUGUAAAUGUCACUUUCACUUGAUAUUAAAUGCAAUUCGCCUUGGUUUUAUUACUAGUCCUGGUUGCUCCACAGCAUGGCAUUAAAAAUAAAACAUUGCUUUGAUUUUGCAUAAAGCCAAGCUGCUUCUGGCAUGUCUGCUUCUUAGCUCGAAACAUAUCGCAGAUUAUCUUAAAUCGUCCUUUUAAAAUGUUUAAAAUCCAAAUAUUUACAAAGACGUAUUGUGCAUCGUAUGCAACGAACACUUGCAGCUGGCUGUAAUUAUUACAAAAGAAAAGCGUGUGGAAUCUUCAAGAAGCCACUUUGAUUGCUUUAAAUGAAAACUAGGAAGUUUUGUUAAAGGGUGAGUAAAUUUUAAAAAACCACAACAGUGCACAGCAAAAGUGUUCACACCCCAUGAACCUUGCACAUAACCACAAACUUCAUUGGAUUGUAUUGUAGUUUUUAUAAGAUACACCAACAUUUAGUCACACAUAACUGAAGUGGAAGGAAAAUGAUGAAUGGUUUUCAACGUGUAAAUGUGUCUCCACUCUGAAAACUCCAAAUAAACUCCAAGGCAACCGAUUGCCUUCAAAAGUCA